GCGGGUACAGCUCAGUGGUAGAGUGUGUGCUUAGCAUGCAGAAGGUCCUGGGUUCAAUCCCCCAGUACCUCCA
This 73-nucleotide transfer RNA is filed under the name Camelus bactrianus (Bactrian camel). It matches the Rfam family "tRNA". From Rfam's summary of the family: Transfer RNA (tRNA) molecules are approximately 80 nucleotides in length. Their secondary structure includes four short double-helical elements and three loops (D, anti-codon, and T loops). Lineage: Eukaryota; Metazoa; Chordata; Mammalia; Artiodactyla; Camelidae. RNAcentral also lists the same sequence under 2 other names. The record is from Rfam by way of RNAcentral.